Molecule: unclassified non-coding RNA, 225 nt
Filed under: Hevea brasiliensis (rubber tree)
Lineage: Eukaryota; Viridiplantae; Streptophyta; Magnoliopsida; Malpighiales; Euphorbiaceae
Source: RNAcentral
CUAUUUGAAACAGAAGAAUCAAGUGUCCGCCGCUACAUGGGUACAAUAACUGGCAUAAGCGACUUGGAUUCUGUUAGGUGGCCUAAUUCACAUUGGCGCUCAGUCAAGGUUGGCUGGGACGAAUCCACAGCUGGAGAGAGGCAACCAAGGGUUUCCCUAUGGGAAAUUGAGCCAUUAACAACGUUCCCAAUGUAUCCUCCAUUCCCUCUAAGGCUUAAGCGCCCU